UUAAAGGAAUUGACGGGACCGCACAAGCGGUGGAUGAUGUGGAUUAAUUCGAUGCAACGCGAAAACCUUACCUACCCUUGACAUGUCCGGAAUCCCGAAGAGAUUUGGGAGUGCUCGCAAGAGAACCGGAACACAGGUGCUGCAUGGCUGUCGUCAGCUCGUGUCGUGAGAUGUUGGGUUAAGUCCCGCAACGAGCGCAACCCUUGUCAUUAGUUGCCAUCAUUUGGUUGGGCACUCUAAUGAGACUGCCGGUGACAAACCGGAGGAAGGUGGGGAUGACGUCAAGUCCUCAUGGCCCUUAUGGGUAGGGCUUCACACGUCAUACAAUGGUCGGUACAGAGGGUUGCCAACCCGCGAGGGGGAGCCAAUCCCAUAAAGCCAUUCGUAGUCCGGAUCGCAGUCUGCAACUCGACUGCGUGAAGUCGGAAUCGCUAGUAAUCGUGGAUCAGAAUGUCACGGUGAAUACGUUCCCGGGUCUU
Molecule: ribosomal RNA, 479 nt
Filed under: uncultured Rhodocyclaceae bacterium
Lineage: Bacteria; Pseudomonadati; Pseudomonadota; Betaproteobacteria; Rhodocyclales; Rhodocyclaceae
Description: bacterial SSU rRNA
Rfam family: Bacterial small subunit ribosomal RNA
Source: RNAcentral